Molecule: non-coding RNA, 366 nt
Organism: Pelobates cultripes (western spadefoot toad)
Lineage: Eukaryota; Metazoa; Chordata; Amphibia; Anura; Pelobatidae
Source: the annotation of a GenBank genome assembly
UGAUGACUUAUUAAUGUAAUACAUCUUAAAAGCAGGAUUGUCCUAAUGUUCUGACCAAUCCAUAUUCCUUAGUACACUUCCACUGACUAAAAUAAAAUAAACAAAAAUAAACUUGGGGUCAUACUGCCCAGAAACUCUUAUUCCUAGUCUGUGUCUUACAAACUCAGGGUAAUCAUAAAACAAUGUAUUCAUUGGAUAUCGCCAUAUCCAGAAACCUAUUCUCCCUAGUCCAUACCUUUAUAGACUAAGGUCAAAUAUAAUUGUGUACUAUACUCUUUCCAUUCAAUUCAAUUCCUCUUGGAUCUCUGAACUCUUAUAUCCAAGGCAUUCUUAAUGUAUACAAUUACUUAAUAUUAAUCAAUAUAA